RNAcentral lists this ribosomal RNA (868 nucleotides) under Alteromonadales bacterium. Its description in RNAcentral is "bacterial SSU rRNA". It matches the Rfam family "Bacterial small subunit ribosomal RNA", at positions 617 to 1484 of the family's 1533-position model. Lineage: Bacteria; Pseudomonadati; Pseudomonadota; Gammaproteobacteria; Alteromonadales. The record is from RNAcentral.
GGAACUGCAUUUGAAACUGGUUGACUAGAGUUUUGUAGAGGGUGGUAGAAUUUCAGGUGUAGCGGUGAAAUGCGUAGAGAUCUGAAGGAAUACCAGUGGCGAAGGCGGCCACCUGGACAAAGACUGACACUGAGGCGCGAAGGCGUGGGGAGCAAACGGGAUUAGAUACCCCGGUAGUCCACGCAGUAAACGAUGUCUAUUAGAAGUUUGUGGCUAUAUGCCGUGGGUUUCAAAGCUAACGCAUUAAAUAGACCGCCUGGGGAGUACGGCCGCAAGGUUAAAACUCAAAUGAAUUGACGGGGGCCCGCACAAGCGGUGGAGCAUGUGGUUUAAUUCGAUGCAACGCGAAGAACCUUACCAUCCCUUGACAUCCAGAGAAUCACCUAGAGAUAGAUGAGUGCCUUCGGGAACUCUGAGACAGGUGCUGCAUGGCUGUCGUCAGCUCGUGUUGUGAAAUGUUGGGUUAAGUCCCGCAACGAGCGCAACCCUUAUCCUUAGUUGCCAGCACGUAAUGGUGGGAACUCUAGGGAGACUGCCGGUGAUAAACCGGAGGAAGGUGGGGACGACGUCAAGUCAUCAUGGCCCUUACGGGAUGGGCUACACACGUGCUACAAUGGCAAAUACAAAGGGUUGCUAACCUGCGAGGGUAUGCGAAUCUCAUAAAGUCUGUCGUAGUCCGGAUCGGAGUCUGCAACUCGACUCCGUGAAGUUGGAAUCGCUAGUAAUCGUGGAUCAGAAUGCCACGGUGAAUACGUUCCCGGGCCUUGUACACACCGCCCGUCACACCAUGGGAGUGGGCUGCACCAGAAGUCAUUAGCUUAACCUUCGGGAUGGCGAUGACCACGGUGUGGUUCAUGACUGGGGUGAA